CCUGCCGAAUGAAUUAGCCCUGAAAAUGGAUGACGCUCAAGCGGGCAGCCGACACCACGCCGUUUGGGCAAAUACAUGGGACAAUGAAGUCGGCCUAAAUGAGUAGGAGGGCGUGGCGGUCUUUAGUUAAGCAGGUGAGAGCGCAAGCUCCACUGAAACGGCCGCUAGUGCAGAUCUUGGUGGUAGUAGCAAAUAUUCAAGCGGGAUCCUUGAAGGGCGAAGCGGGGAAGGGUUCCACGCAAACAUUGAUUGGGCGUGGGUGAGUCGUGCCUAAGCCAGCUGGUAAUUGUUGAUUCAAAACUGGCGAAAGGGAAGCGGGUUAAAAUUCUCGCACACGGAUGUGGAGGCGGUGACGCAAACCGAGUCGAAGACGUCGGUGAUAGCGCUGGGCAGAGUUUUCUUUUCUGUUUGACCUGCGAGACGCAUAGUGUGGAAUCCGAUUAUCGGGAGAAACACAUGCCGAGGGGCAGAGCGCCGGGAUUUUCCGGCGUCCAGCACGCUAUUGACGACCCUUGAAAAUUCGAUGUCGACAAUGUGCUUUUUCUUCAGUGGUUUCGGCUUCUGAGGAGGGGUGCGCUAAUUUCACGCCGUGACGUACCGAUAACCGCAUCAGGUCCCCAAGGUGAACAGCCUCUGCUCCAUAUGAACAAU
This 651-nucleotide ribosomal RNA is filed under the name Sporolithon molle. RNAcentral's name for it is "eukaryotic LSU rRNA". It matches the Rfam family "Eukaryotic large subunit ribosomal RNA", at positions 1293 to 1899 of the family's 3401-position model. The record is from RNAcentral. Lineage: Eukaryota; Rhodophyta; Florideophyceae; Sporolithales; Sporolithaceae.